This 678-nucleotide long non-coding RNA is filed under the name Sorghum bicolor (sorghum). RNAcentral's name for it is "long non-coding RNA (SBIC_LNC001985)". Lineage: Eukaryota; Viridiplantae; Streptophyta; Magnoliopsida; Poales; Poaceae. The record is from RNAcentral.
UUUGCUAUAUGUUUGGUAGAGAGAGUGAUGUUACCACUCCUUUUGCUCCUCACCACCGCGCGCUGUUGCUACUGUCUAGGGGCUUUUCUCCUUCUCCGGCAAAGUCUACCGGUGGCAAGGAGAGGGGACUCCUCUCUUUUUAUGGCAGUUUUUAUAUGUCCAGUUUGCAUAGGGUUUUAGCCCAAAUAAAUCUACAAUCUAGAUUUCUCAAAAAAAAAUCUACAAUCUAAAUCAGAAGAUUUUCAGUGGGAAUCUUGUUACAUGAGAUGACUUUGAUAAUUGUCACAAUAAAAUGGCUAUUUCCUUUGUAAAGAUACAGUGUUUCCAAGAGUGUGCAGGUACAUGCAAGUUCUAGCAUCUCCAUCAGGCCAAGUCCCACUCUAUAUCUGAGUAGUGGAGUAAUAAAAUUGCCUUCACUUUUUCAUUGGCUAUCCAAAUCCUUCCUGCACUGCUCAUUCCCAUGGGGUCAAGUAGGGUGCCUCUGCUUUUUUAUUAGAUCGUUUUCCACCUGAAAGGAUCAAGAUGUCUUUCGUGAGUUAUUGUUUUAACGUUAGGUAAUUUUAGUUAUAUGGGUCUAAUCCUACAAUUUUAGUUAUUUGAUAUAUAAAUAUAUAUAUAGGCUGGAGUUAUAGUUAUUACAUUUGAUAGUUUGGUGUUACAGUUUAUCCAGUGAAAGCG